GGUUAAGAGAUGCGGCCCCAAUCCCUCGGAAUGGUCGCACGGCAACCGGUAACCGCUCCGGUGCCCUCCGAGGAAGACCAGGCCUCCACAGUCGUAGAGGUCAAGCGGUCUCG
This 113-nucleotide non-coding RNA is filed under the name Tessaracoccus sp. ZS01. RNAcentral describes it as "SAM (S-adenosyl methionine) riboswitch aptamer". It matches the Rfam family "SAM (S-adenosyl methionine) riboswitch aptamer". From Rfam's summary of the family: SAM-IV is a mRNA element that regulates gene expression via direct sensing of S-adenosylmethionine (SAM or AdoMet). SAM-IV riboswitches share conserved nucleotide positions with the previously described SAM-I riboswitches sequence analysis and molecular recognition experiments suggest that SAM-I and SAM-IV riboswitches share similar ligand binding sites, but have different scaffolds. Lineage: Bacteria; Bacillati; Actinomycetota; Actinomycetes; Propionibacteriales; Propionibacteriaceae. The record is from Rfam by way of RNAcentral. RNAcentral also lists the same sequence under 1 other name.